CCGAGUUCUACACUCAUAACCCUUUGUGAACCAUUAUACCCUGUUGCUUCGGCGGCGCGCCUCCCCGGGGGCGUGCCCGCCGGUACAAUCAGUAUCUCUGUUUGAACCCGACGUUACAUCUGAGUGUUCUAAGCGAACUGUUA
This 143-nucleotide unclassified non-coding RNA is filed under the name uncultured fungus. RNAcentral's name for it is "sequence contains ITS1, 5.8S rRNA gene". The record is from RNAcentral. Lineage: Eukaryota; Fungi.